This 4983-nucleotide long non-coding RNA is filed under the name Marmota monax (woodchuck). The record is from RNAcentral. Lineage: Eukaryota; Metazoa; Chordata; Mammalia; Rodentia; Sciuridae.
ACCCACAGCUCAUUUUAUAUUUUAUUUUCAGUCAGGGUCUUGCUAAAUUGCUGAGGCAGAACUCAAACUUGCUCCACCUUCCCUCCCCAGCAGCUGGGAUUACAGGCAUGUGUCAUUACACCCAGUUUGCCCUACAUCUUAAUCAUUACUGUAUUCAUUUUAUUUUUCAUGUUAUUACUCAGCAAUAUGUUUUGAAGAUUACUUUCAAAGGUCUGUGGUCAAAUCCAACUAUACCUUUAUUUUGCCUUCUCACUAAAACAUAAGUUUGGUUGAGUAUAGAAUUUGAAAUGCAAAAUUAUUUGCUUUCAGAAAUAGAUAAUCUUUAUUAUUCUGGCUUUCUGCAUUACUCACUGGUUUCAAAAAAGUUAAAGAAAAUUUGCAAAUUCUUCUGCUUGGAAAAAAUUACUGAAGUUGAUGUUUAAUACAUAAAGGAAUAGUCUUUUUUUUUCCCUUCUAGUUUUGCAUAGAGCAAGGAAGCAAAGAAACUAAAACUGAAAAUGGGAUUUAUUCUUAUAAACUCUCAUGUAAAGUGAAUUCUAAGUACCAUCUGCUAAAGUGAAGAGAUUAACAACAGAAAGGAAACAGCAAGAGUGUCACAUGCCUCGAAACUAUGUUCACUCUGGAAGGAGUCUGAUUCAGGUGAAUUAAGAUUUUUUUUUUUUUUAGUAGUAGUGUUCAAAAUAAUCAGCUGCCACUAAUAGACAAUGCUACUUUGUAUUUCUUUAAAUUUUGUUCUAUUAUUUAUGUAAUAAUUUGCCAGUAGAAGUUGUCCUAUUAAAAGUUGUCAUUUUAAUAAACAACAUUUUUUUGUAAGAGAAAUAUCUACUCACACAAUAGUCAACCACAAUCUAUGUUCUGUUACUCUAGACAAUGGAACACUUGGUCACUAGAGUCACAAAACUUAAUCCAAAAAUAUACCAUUCUCUGCAUAAAUUUCACAGGCUGCUCUGAAGGAGGAAAUAAAAUCUCUGAAAGAGAACAUUUUUUUUCCACCUUUUUCUACUCUUUUCAUCACCAUGUCCUUCCCCUCAAAUUUCCUUGCAAUUGGAAAGGGAGAAAACUAACUUUACAGACUCAUUCAAACCAGGGAAAACAAUUUAUUGUUCAUACUUCAAAUCUUCUGCUGAAACUUGUGUUUUCUAGAUCACCUACACCAUUCCCCAUCAGAAGAGCCUCUUGAAUGACAAAUGAUGUUAAGUGGUAUCCAAAAUAGAAUGCACAAAUCAUAGCAGCUGACAGUCACAAAGAAGCAAAUUAAUCAAGGCAUGUUAACAUAAGUAGUUAUCUUUCUCUGUGAGAGAGGAGAUAGGAGGACAAUAUAGCUGAGGGGACUCUACAGCCAUUUUCUGUACACUCACAUACUAUCUAAAACUUUUACAAUGUGAAUAUAGUAAUACAUUAAUUGUGUAAUAUUAAAGUAAUGUUAACAGUGAAAGGACACUAGAGAUGACUGGUAAAAAUCCCUCAGUUGUAAUGCUAUACAUUGCAUGUUUAGCCCCUGUCUCCAUCCCCUGCCCCCAAUUCCUCAAUGCAAUAGUAUUAGGAGGGGAGCUUCUGGGAGAUGAUUUGGUCAUGAGAGGGAGCCCUCUUAAGAGGGAUCAUUGCCAUUUUAAAAGAGAUCUCAGAAAGCUCUCUUACCUCUUCUGCCAUGUGAGGACACAAGAGGAUAGCAACUAUAAACCUGAAUAUGGGCUCUCACCAUACACCAAACUACCAAUGUUUUGUCUGUGACUUCUCAGCCUCCAAUGACUUCCCAGCCUCCUGAACUGUUCAGAAAUAAAUUUCUAUAGUUUAUAAGUCACCCAGUUUGUAAUAUUUUGUUACAGAAGCCCAGAUUGACAUGUAUAAAUGAUGAAACUGAGACUAGAAAAUCUGAUAUACUCCAGGUCAAGAUUUACCCAAUUUUCAAUUUCUAACCUCCAUCUGAAGAGGCAUAUGAGGAGACAAGCAUAGAGUUGCUCUGAAAAUAGCCAUCCUCCCUUGAGAAAACAAGGGAUACCAGGUUCUGAGAAAUAAGUCAAUCCAGAAACUACAUAAGAAACACUUCUGGUUGGGCACAGUGCCACACACCUGUAAUAAUUCCAGUGGCUCAGGAGGCCAAGGCAGGAAGAUCCCACAUUCCAAGCCAGCCUCAGUAAAAGCAAGGCACUAAGCAACUCAGUGAGAUCCUGUCUCUAAAUAAAAUACAAAAAAUAGGAUUGAGGAUGUGGCUCAAUGGUCAAGAGCCCCUGAGUUAAAAAAAAAAAAAAAGAAAAAGAAACACUUCUGUUCAAAUAUUGGAGGAAGUGAGAAAAUGUGCCAAGAACAGAGAGGACAGUUAAGGAUGUAAGUCACAGAGUCAAUCCAAGGAUUUAGGAUCUAGGAUAUAGGAGCAGUCAAGAUAUCAGUAUUAGGGCUGGGGUUGUGGCUCAGUGGUAGAGAGCUCGUCUGGUAUAUGUGAGGCAAGAGGUUCGAUGCUCAGUACCACAUAAAAAUAAAUGAAAUAAAGGUAUUGUGUCCAUCUACAACUAAAAAAAAAAAAUUAAAGGUAAGUAUUAAACUGGACCACCUGAUUGCCUAUAAUAAAUGGUAAAAAUUAGGUCUUCACUUUUAGUUUAUUCAGAUCAGUUUUUUUGUAAAUAGCCAUGGAGAUGGGAUGGCAACCAGUGGCAGAAAGCUUCCUAGAACACAAAUACUAUAGGUCCAAUUCUAGUUUAAAAAUCUUUGCAUAUUGCAUCAUUUGUCAAAUACCAGUAAUAAGAAUUUCUUAUGCCUCAGUGAUACAAAAACAAAUAUAAGAGGUUAUAGAUCCAUGGGAAAAAGAAACUAAAAUCUUCCAAAUGGAGAUAAAAGCAAUCACUAUGAGCUUUGUUCCUGUAACCUAGCAAUAUUAUUUCCAUGAGAUUGAGACUGAAUCAUGGGAAAUUUGGAGACCAUUAUUUGGAAGAAUACACAAAAGAGAUAAAUAAUGUAAAGACCUGGGCACAAAUGACUGGGGCAAGCCAAAAUAACUUCUAGUCUUUGUCUGUACUCUCCUCAGACAGAAAAACACAAUGGUGCCUGAUAGGACAAUGAUAUCAUGAAAUUAUAAAUAUGAAAGUAAACUGAAAUUCAGGUUAAGUUUCUCAUUUGCCAAAAGUCUAAACAAACUUCUUGAUAAUUAAUCUCCAAAAUGUGUGACUCUGCUGCAGACUUGUGCACAUAAAUUAUAAUAAAGAACCUUGGUAUGCAAUUUGAUUCAAAGUGCUUUUUAGUAAAGUACAUAAUGAUGCAUGCUGAGGAGAUGCAGGUAUAUUUAAUUGGAUAUAAUUAAAAUAAUGAUGUGUGUUUAAAAUAAUGAUAUAUUUAAAAAUGUUAAAUGUAAGUGGCUCACGAACCUGUAAUAAAAAGUCAAAGCAGUAACUAGUUUUUGAUUACUUGAUUAUUCACAGAACUAAUACCCUUCAUUUAACAAGUAAUGCAGGUAAUGCUUGUAAUAAUGUCACAGUAGAGGAGUUCAAGGAACCCUGGUGACAACAUGGGCCUCUCCCCCCACCCCCCACCCCGUCUCCCCCUCAUUGCUUGGGACUAGUUUCACCUUCCAGCUCUCUUCUCUUCAUGCCAACUCUUUUCAUCAAAAUAGUAACAAUAAUAAUUUCUCCAAGAUAGCUAAAAUAUUGACAGUUGUUGAGGCUGAGCAGAGGUAAUGAGAUAGGAAUUUGGGGUAACAGAAAAGAGAAGGAUGUUGAGUCUCAAAGGAAGAAGUACCCAUGAACCCCUGAACUGCAGAACACACCCAUGAAACACAGAAAUGAGAAAGCAUACAUGAAGAGUUGUAACUCCUGAGAGACCCAGCCUGCACCCUUGUCCUGAGCCCUUGUUUGCAAAAAAUUUACAUGAAGGCAGUGAGCAAGUGCAGGGAAACUGGUACAAAAUUGUGUAACUCUGCCCCGACUCUACCUCCAGUCCAGCCCCUAGAAACCAUCCCUCUAUAAAUAUUAACACCCCACGCUAACAGGUUGCCGUUUCCCCCUCUGGAGAUGGCCCACAUUCUCCCUUGAAUGUGCCUCUGCUUUUCUAAAUGAACCUCUGUCUAUGGCUCUGACUGGCAUAUGCUGAAAAGUCUUUUAAAACACCAUUGUCCUGAGUCCAGUUCCCCUUUCUCUCUACAACUUUUCAGAUCCUUCUUCUAAGCCAUCUCUUCUCCUGUGACAGUUACAUGAGGUUCAGUGUAUUUGUUCUCUCCGUGUACUUUUGAGAUGUUCUUUUAUUAGUAGAAAAAAAAAGUAUCUAUUUUUGAGCAUAGGUUUUAUAAUGUGUGAGGACUUUGCUUCUUCCCCAUUCAAAGGACAGACCUUACUAACUUGUGCAUGCAUGCACUGGCAUUACUUGAGGCCUCAGAAAUUCCCUUAAAAUAAGUGGACAAGUAGCACAUAGAGGGGUGUUUCUAACUUUCAGCCCUGGUUAGGUAUUGCCCCCAUAGAGACUGCUUUUUGCCUGGAUACCUCUCACCAUCUGGAGUUAGUUUUUGGUCCCUUCCUUGUCUUUCACCAUUUCUCUGCUUCAAGUUCAAUCAAUGGUUCCUGUCUGCCUCAUUAUUUUCCAGAGCCUGGUCCUCAUCCAUACACCAGGAUUUCUCAGAUGAGCAGCCAAUGAGCCAGUGCCCUACUGCCCAGACAUCUCAUUACCUUCUGUCCUCUGCUGCCCAGCUGUGACUUCUAACGGAGCUCAGUUCAACUCCCUGCAGGAUUGUACAGGCAAUUACUGUCUUUGAACCCCAAGCUCUAUAAUUCAUGAUCAGAUCUUGGGAGAGGCAAAUGGCUUGCUUGAUUUUUUUUUUUUUUCAGUUCCUGCUUAUAUGACUAAGCUUUGCACUCAAAAUGGGAAACUAGGCUAUGGUACAUCUGUAACAUUUCCUAUGGAUAAAACAUUUAUUGUACAUCUUUCUAUAGUUCCUCUUUACUUUUUAUGUUUAGUAAUUGAUACAUUGUAAUCCUGUUUCUAUGAAUUUGAAAUAGCUCUUAU